This 220-nucleotide ribosomal RNA is filed under the name uncultured bacterium. RNAcentral describes it as "partial 16S ribosomal RNA". It matches the Rfam family "Bacterial small subunit ribosomal RNA", at positions 329 to 539 of the family's 1533-position model. The record is from RNAcentral.
CGCUCGACACCUACGGGGGCAGCAGUAGGGAAUCUUCCACAAUGGACGCAAGUCUGAUGGAGCAACGCCGCGUGAGUGAAGAAGGUUUUCGGAUCGUAAAGCUCUGUUGUUGGUGAAGAAGGAUAGAGGUAGUAACUGGCCUUUAUUUGACGGUAAUCAACCAGAAAGUCACGGCUAACUACGUGCCACAGCCGCGGUAAUCUGAGCGGGCUGGCAAGGC